This 492-nucleotide ribosomal RNA is filed under the name uncultured bacterium. RNAcentral's name for it is "partial 16S ribosomal RNA". It matches the Rfam family "Bacterial small subunit ribosomal RNA", at positions 29 to 507 of the family's 1533-position model. The record is from RNAcentral.
AGUGAGCGCUGGCGGUAGGCCUAACACAUGCAAGUCGAACGGCAGCACAGUAAGAGCUUGCUCUUACGGGUGGCGAGUGGCGGACGGGUGAGGUAUACAUCGGAAUCUACUUUUUCGUGGGGGAUAACGUAGGGAAACUUACGCUAAUACCGCAUACGACCUACGGGUGAAAGCAGGGGUUCUUCGGACCUUGCGCGAUUGAAUGAGCCGAUGUCGGAUUAGCUAGUUGGCGGGGUAAAGGCCCACCAAGGCGACGAUCCGUAGCUGGUCUGAGAGGAUGAUCAGCCACACUGGAACUGAGACACGGUCCAGACUCCUACGGGAGGCAGCAGUGGGGAAUAUUGGACGAUGGGCGCAAGCCUGAUCCAGCCAUACCGCGUGGGUGAAGAAGGCCUUCGGGUUGUAAAGCCCUUUUGUUGGGAAAGAAAAGCAGCAGGUUAAUACCCCGCUGUUCUGACGGUACCCAAAGAAUAAGCACCGGCUAACUUCGUG